AUCCGGUCCCCGGGGGAGCGUUACCGUCACGCUUGAGAGGAAGGCCACAGCCUUCGACCCGCUGAACCUGAUCCGGCUGACACCGGCGUAGGGAGGGAGCGGCAGCCCCGC
Molecule: non-coding RNA, 111 nt
Filed under: Sphingomonas sp.
Lineage: Bacteria; Pseudomonadati; Pseudomonadota; Alphaproteobacteria; Sphingomonadales; Sphingomonadaceae
Also listed under: 1 other name
Description: TPP sequence
Rfam family: TPP riboswitch aptamer (THI element) (bases 7-98)
About the family: Vitamin B(1) in its active form thiamin pyrophosphate (TPP) is an essential coenzyme that is synthesised by coupling of pyrimidine and thiazole moieties in bacteria.
Source: RNAcentral